GGGGGUCACCGGCCAUCCAAGAGAUUUUUUGACCUCUGAAAAUGAGUGCAAAUAGGCUAAAUAUAGGGAAAACAGGCAUAAAAUAUCUUUAAUUGAAUUUUCAGAGCAAAAUAAAUGACAGACGUUGCUCAUUUUUUCAUACUGUAAAGCUUGAUGUCUCUAUUUUUAUUAAAUUGAAAUACAUUUUGCGGGUCACCAGCCAUCUAAGAGAUUUUUUUUAGCAAAAUAACAGUUGUUGUUUAUUGUUCAAAGAGGGUUGACCUCUGCAGUUGUGUAAUGCUGCGCCCUGCGGAGCAUCUGGUUAUUAUUGUGCUUAAACCAUAUUUGUUACAAAAUGAAUGAAAAGUGUAAGCUAACAGUCUGCUAAGUUUUUAUCCAUAAGUCUCAUUCUGACUUUCUAUCUGAAAGGUUUUUAUGUGUCAAUAUUUGUGUUUCAAUAUAAAAGGAAG
RNAcentral lists this long non-coding RNA (449 nucleotides) under Mytilus galloprovincialis (Mediterranean mussel). The record is from RNAcentral. Lineage: Eukaryota; Metazoa; Mollusca; Bivalvia; Mytilida; Mytilidae.